CUUUUCAAUCACUUUGACUUUGACUGGAGUUUUCACAGGAGAACCUGUGCUCAAUGGGGAUGACCUCCCUUCUAGUCGAGGCUUGGUUUUCACAGCAGUUACAGUAGUGACCACAGUCCCACAGGGCAUCACAGUUCGAUCCUUUUCUACCUUAGUGCUUGGCACUGGAGAAGAAGCUUGCCAAGUCUUUAACUCGCUAGGUUCAAUAAACAAGAACUCUGCAGUAAUGGAUC
This 233-nucleotide long non-coding RNA is filed under the name Gallus gallus (chicken). The record is from RNAcentral. Lineage: Eukaryota; Metazoa; Chordata; Aves; Galliformes; Phasianidae.